RNAcentral lists this ribosomal RNA (26 nucleotides) under Aglaia tomentosa. RNAcentral describes it as "partial 26S ribosomal RNA". The record is from RNAcentral. RNAcentral also lists the same sequence under 1 other name. Lineage: Eukaryota; Viridiplantae; Streptophyta; Magnoliopsida; Sapindales; Meliaceae.
UGCGACCCCAGGUCAGGCGGGACUAC